GAUGAACGCUGGCGGCGUGCCUAAUACAUGCAAGUCGAACGAAACUUCUUUAUCACCGAGUGCUUGCACUCACCGAUAAAGAGUUGAGUGGCGAACGGGUGAGUAACACGUGGGCAACCUGCCCAAAAGAGGGGGAUAACACUUGGAAACAGGUGCUAAUACCGCAUAACCAUAGUUACCGCAUGGUAACUAUGUAAAAGGUGGCUAUACUACCGCUUUUGGAUGGGCCCGCGGCGCAUUAGCUAGUUGGUAGGGUAAAGGCUUACCAAGGCAAUGAUGCGUAGCCGAAUUGAGAGGUUGAUCGGCCACAUUGGGACUGAGACACGGCCCAAACUCCUACGGGAGGCAGCAGUAGGGAAUCUUCCACAAUGGGCGAAAGCCUGAUGGAGCAACGCCGCGUGGGUGAAGAAGGUCUUCGGAUCGUAAAACCCUGUUGUUAGAGAAGAAAGUGCGUGAGAGUAACUGUUCACGUUUCGACGGUAUCUAACCAGAGAGCCACUGCUAACUACGUG
This 512-nucleotide ribosomal RNA is filed under the name uncultured bacterium. RNAcentral's name for it is "partial 16S ribosomal RNA". It matches the Rfam family "Bacterial small subunit ribosomal RNA", at positions 28 to 507 of the family's 1533-position model. The record is from RNAcentral.